CGCUCGGCUGAACCGCCAAACUGUUAUAACCGUAAGAUAUCAUGUACCUUCAUGAACAAUCAGACCUGGACCGUCGUAUUACAAGAUCGGUACGUCGAGUAACCACUUCCCAGCCACGCUAAGCGGUAUGAGCACUCUUCUCUCUCAAACUGGUAUGGCGAAAACAACUUGGAGGAACGAUGAAGAUACGAACCGGAACACAGGAACCAGGAAUCCCUAUCAGGAGCCCUGCGAACCACACGAACAGACAAACGAAUACCUUACUUCUCACUUCUGGUCUCGGGUAAUUCAAGGAUCAGAUCAAGGUGAAAGGCGGACAUCUUAGAGGCAUCUGGACGUACGAUGUGGGUACAUCCUCCUUCCCACGUCACCCCCACGAACGAGUCUUGGCCGUGCCAAUAUAAGCCAUCCAUCCUGUACCAUCCCGUGAUUGUGCGAUGCGUGCACCACCCUGCCAUCCUGAUCCAUCCAUCUCCAUCGCGCAAUCCACGCAUGUCCGUCCGAUGCCAAAGAGAUAUACGCCUGAUCCGGUAAAUGUAUGUGAUCGUCAAGCGCUGGCAUCCGGAGGUCCAUGGUGAAGUGGCGAUGUGAGAUCCAGGAUUCAGGAGACUUGGAGAAAAUCGAGAGGAAACGCAAAACCACAACAAACAGACAAAUGCGAAAUUUCAGUGUGCUAUGCAACACAGUCGAAAAUCGCAGUGCAACCGCACAGCACGGCAGUCACACUACACACUGCAUUUCCGGUUGCGAAAACUGCACGCUAUCAAAGCACUGAAUUUUCCUUUUUCGAACAACGUGAAGACGGUCUUCAUCAAACCGACGCCACCCCC
Molecule: long non-coding RNA, 830 nt
Organism: Paramacrobiotus metropolitanus
Lineage: Eukaryota; Metazoa; Tardigrada; Eutardigrada; Parachela; Macrobiotidae
Exons: 3
Source: RefSeq, a predicted model, not a curated record